AGUUGCCCACCACAAGUUUUUUUUUUCUGAUUACUCAAUAGUAUUUCUUCUUACAGUUGCUGCAGACUAACAUCUUAAUCAAACGAAGUGAUAUGCCACCUACAUGCUCAUAAAAUACAAAUGAUAUUUUCAUCAUGUUAUUUGAAAACAAAUACUGCAGAACAUAAGAUCCACUAAACCACUCAAUUUGUACCAUCUUGCAGCUUGUUUUUUAUUUACACAUCCACUAUCUCACGAACAUAUAACUUAUCUUAGAUUUCAAGUUAUAAGUUCAUUUUUUACUCUUCUCGUGCUCUAGUCAUGUAUCACUUGUAAAUAUCAUAACAUUGUAUUGCUUCUUAAAUCCUCAUUAGUUUUUGGUUUUGAUGUAUCUCAAUUCGACUUCUUCAAAUGCUUGUGCUCUGAGAAGCUGUAUAACUACUAUACCAUUCAACAGAAGGCGAGAGGGUAUUACACAGGUUACAUACAAUAUGACAUUUUUCACCUGACCGAGCAUAUGAACUUAGAUAACAGACUAUGGACAACUCGAAUUGGGAUAAAAGGAAAAUGGAGGUGAUCAAAUUUGAAGGGUCGCCACAAGUCAAUUUGAUCUCACUGAAGUGGAUAAUGAAAAGUUUUUAAACUAUUCUUAAAGUUUGAAUACAUUAUGUUUGAUUUUGUGAAAUAUAUUCCUUGCUAGAAUAAAUUGAACUAUUGUACGA
Molecule: long non-coding RNA, 701 nt
Organism: Solanum pennellii
Lineage: Eukaryota; Viridiplantae; Streptophyta; Magnoliopsida; Solanales; Solanaceae
Exons: 3
Source: RefSeq, a predicted model, not a curated record